GACCUCGUCCGUGGGGAGACUACCCGCCAAAUUUAAGCAUAUUAAUAAGCGGAGGAAAAGAAACCGACCGGGAUUCCCUGAGUAAGGGCGACUGAAAGGGGAUGAGCCCAGCGCAUAACCUUGCGGUCUUGCUGUGGCCGUCGAGGGGUGUUGCGUUUUGGUGGAUCCGUACCGCUCGAGUUGCUGACCGCCUAAGUCAUUGCUUGAAUGCAGCCCCGAGGAGGGUGGUAGGCCCGUGUGGCGGCGCCUGUAAAAAGGUUGGAGGCAAUUCGGGCGGAGGGGUCUUUACCGUAGAGCCGGGUUGCUUAGUACUGCAGCCCUAAGUAGGUGGUAAACUCCAUCUAGGCUAAAUA
This 353-nucleotide ribosomal RNA is filed under the name Macrobrachium rosenbergii (giant freshwater prawn). Its description in RNAcentral is "eukaryotic LSU rRNA". It matches the Rfam family "Eukaryotic large subunit ribosomal RNA", at positions 1 to 322 of the family's 3401-position model. Lineage: Eukaryota; Metazoa; Arthropoda; Malacostraca; Decapoda; Palaemonidae. The record is from RNAcentral.